Molecule: ribosomal RNA, 253 nt
Filed under: uncultured bacterium
Lineage: Bacteria
Description: partial 16S ribosomal RNA
Rfam family: Bacterial small subunit ribosomal RNA
Source: RNAcentral
UACGGAGGGUGCAAGCGUUAUCCGGAUUCACUGGGUUUAAGGGGUGCGUAGGAGGGCAGGUAAGUCAGUGGUGAAAUCUUCGAGCUUAACUCGGAAACUGCCGUUGAUACUAUCUGUCUUGAAUAUUGUGGAGGUGAGCGGAAUAUGUCAUGUAGCGGUGAAAUGCUUAGAUAUGACAUAGAACACCAAUUGCGAAGGCAGCUCGCUACACAUAUAUUGACUCUGAGGCACGAAAGCGUGGGGAUCAAACAGG